AGGCUACUGAGUCCCUUGAGAAGUGCAAGGCUAGUGAAGACCUCCUAAAGGCAAUCUGGAGAUUAAACAAACAAACAAAAACAACCUAGGCCCAGUCAUAAUUCAAAAGCUCAGCAUGCCACUCUCUCCACCCCCCAGUGAAGGGCUUUGCAUAGUUAAAGCCAAAAGGCUGGACCCGCUGAAGUGGCCACAGUGCCCCUUCCCUGAUCUAGGAUGUCUUGUCCCUUUCCCUCAGUCACCAGUGUACCAAAAGCAUGCAGUGAGCUUUCAGGCCAAGCUAGGGAAACACCUGAAGGGCAAAGUGGACAUGCUUCAUUACCACUCCUUCUGGGUGGGUAGCCACAACCACUUACUUCCCAACAAUCUUGAAAGGAAAGCAGAGCCUUAUGACAGGGCAGUGAAGCCCCAGGCAGUGGUAGAACCUGGGAAGAACACAGGUGCCUAGUUCUUUCCCCACAUGGCUGCUUUUCAGACCCAAAGUACCAGAGUGGUGAGUUCCCUGGGGUAGGGGAAAGAUGAGUCAAGGCCAUAGGUACUCCAUCUUGGUCCCAAGGGUGGGCGAAAGGGGAAAGCCUGGACUCAAAAAGCCCAAGUUCCCUCCCUGACAUGAUGCAGUGGCACCAAGAGGCGCUCCAAAGACAGCCCCUCCGUCCAAGCGAACUAGGCCACCCAACAUUCCCAUUUCCCGAAAAACCCAGUCUCUGCAAGCCGUGGAGGACAGGUCUUCACAGGCUCAUUUUAGCUUCGGGUUAAGAAUGGAGGCGCAGCGGCGCCAAAGCUGAAAUUCCCCUUCCCUCAGAAAAGUGUGGCGGUGUCACCGCAGUCACCUUCCCCUGAGCUCCCGUGCACGCGCGAGCCCUCCUGGGUCUGACCUGCGGCCGCGGCGUCUCUCGAGCGCUGACUGCUGCUUGGCUCCCGCCGGGCUCGCUGCUGGGCCGGCGACGCGCGCUGAGUCCGGCGCCUUCUCCCUCUCUGCUCGGGGACGGGCAGGGCUGGGGGGUGAAGAGGGGACUGCGCGUCCCAGUUCUAAGGCGGGGCGGGGCGGGGUGGAGUGCCAGGACCCGCCGAGGUGCUCCGAGGAGACCCGGGCGCGCAAGGUGAGACUGCACGGGCUCGCCCAGCUCAGAUAGGGUAGACGUCCGGUCAGUGGCGAAGCCACGUGAACGGAGAAAAGAGCGAGUCGGCUUCUAAAAGGUCUGCUGGGGAUGGGAGAGGGCCGAAGAGGGGACAGGGUGCGAAGGGACAGGGGAGACGCUGCCCAAUCCUCUCCACGCGGGCGGGUAAGACCAAGAGCACCGGUCAACGCCCGCAGAACCAGGCUAGGCGUUCGAGCAAGGCAUCCGUCCUAAGACCUUUUAAGAGUCCGUGGUAACAUCCACCACCCGGAGUUCGUCGUGAGAUCUCGGGGGUCUCACCGCCCUCGAGCCCCGUCCGCGCCCCUCUGGACCCCGGAUUGCAUCGCUAGGUUUGUGCUAGAACUGCCCAGGGUUGUGCGCCAGGGGCGAGGGGAAGGAGGAGUCGGAGGACUGGCUGCGGAGUGGACCGUUCUCGCGCGCCAGUCCCUUUUCCGUCCCAGGCUGGGUGGGGGCGGGCGCAGCGCCGCAGAGACUGGGGUGCGGUCUGAGAAGGUUGAGAAGUACUUGGAGCUGGAGGGGCGGGGCGGGGGCGAGGGCCGGGGAGGGCGGGAAAGCAUCCCGGACCUGGUUUGUCCGGUCAUAGUCUAUUUAAGUGCAGUAGGAGAAGAGUAGGGGUUGCAAGAAAGCCCCGCCAAGAGAAAGGGCGUGCGCUUUUGGUGCCAGGGCGUCCGGACCUGGUUUCUUCUUUAUCCCAUACCUGGGAGCGCUUCGUGUGAGGUUCCACUACGAAGAGGCGAGCGGCGCCGGCUACCAGGCACGCACUGUUUCGAAGAGGCAAAGGUAGGAAACAGCAGUCCGGGUUUAAGUGGCGGGUAUACUGCUGCGGUCUGUGCGGCCCGGGUGGGUGUCGAAGAGGGCCUUGAAGUGCUGUCCCCGCCCCGGCCCCUAGAGGCGCACUUCCCACAUCCGCCCAGGUUCAGAUCAAGUGGGAAUUCGAAGUAUUGUGAGAAACUAAGAGGCAAAGAACAAACAAAACAACAAGAAACUUACUAAGGCCACGAGGUUUACAGAUGUAGAAUCCUUACCUCGGCUUAACUGGGGUCUAGGUAAUUCGGCUGGCAAGAUUCAGCACCCCUAGGCUCCUUAAUCACCUCAGCCCUUGUUAAGGAUUCCUGCCCCAAACCACUUUUCAGAUCUUGUUCUAUUUCUCCACUUAACGGCCUUCUUUGGUGCAAAAGCACACGUACACGUGCCCACACACCUUCCUGAAGAAAAGAGACUGGGACAGGAAUUCUGGACAGGGUCCUUUUAGCCAUCCAGAGCUGUGAACUUUGAGUGGGGUCCACCCCAAACAGAGAAAUAAACCAUCACAUUCUAGCAACUAGUAUCACUAGUCAGAGUUCUUGACAACUCCAGGCAAGUCACCCACACUCCCUUUGUAGAGAAUUGGUCAUCUUUACCGGUUCCAGAAGAAGCAGGAGGCAAUCAGAGAAAGACUUCAGGAAGAAAUCCCUGAGAGGCCACAGAACAUUAAGAAUGUACAGAAGAACGUUGAAGCUCCAGACUUGCACUAGGCUGUAUUUCCUUGAAGACUGUAGCUUUAUUUCUUGGCCACCCCUAAUACACACAAAAAGGAACCCCACUCUAUCCUGUGGUAGGUAGGAAUGGGUAAUCUUUAUCUGAAUUGCAACUGAGCAUG
Molecule: long non-coding RNA, 2775 nt
Organism: Bos grunniens (domestic yak)
Lineage: Eukaryota; Metazoa; Chordata; Mammalia; Artiodactyla; Bovidae
Source: Ensembl